Ordospora colligata OC4 is the source of this 157-nucleotide non-coding RNA. Lineage: Eukaryota; Fungi; Microsporidia; Ordosporidae. The record is from RefSeq and is a predicted model, not a curated record.
UGAGCAUCUGAAGAACAGCGUUGGAGUGGAGACACUCCAUGGAAAGUCCUCGGAAGCAGCUGAAAGGCAGCCUUAAUUGGUGUGUUUAUCAUUUGAAUAGAUUAAUGCUGUUAGGUAUGGGUCUACUGAACGGAAUGAGGCUUACUCUUAGAUGCUC